GGACGACGCUGGCGGCGUGCCUAAUACAUGCAAGUCGAACGGUCUUUCUAUGGAAGCUUGCUCCACUGAGAAGAUAGUGGCGAACGGUGAGUAACACAUGGGUAACCUGCCCAUAAGAGGGGGAUAACAUCCGGAAACGGGUGCUAAUACCGCAUAGUUUUCUUGAUCGCAUGAUUGAGAAAGGAAAGACGGCCUUUGUGCUGUCGCUUAUGGAUGGACCCGCGGCGUAUUAGUUAGUUGGUGAGGUAAUGGCUCACCAAGACGAUGAUACGUAGCCGACCUGAGAGGGUGAUCGGCCACAUUGGGACUGAGACACGGCCCAAACUCCUACGGGAGGCAGCAGUAGGGAAUCUUCCGCAAUGGACGAAAGUCUGACGGAGCAACGCCGCGUGAGUGAAGAAGGUUUUCGGAAUCGUAAAACUCUGUUGUCAGAGAAGAACAAGUUGGAGAGUAACUGCUCCAGCCUUGACGGUAUCUGACCAGAAAGCCACGGCUAACUACGUGCCAGCAGCAGC
RNAcentral lists this ribosomal RNA (515 nucleotides) under uncultured bacterium. RNAcentral describes it as "bacterial SSU rRNA". It matches the Rfam family "Bacterial small subunit ribosomal RNA", at positions 32 to 518 of the family's 1533-position model. The record is from RNAcentral.